GGGGCGCCUCACCCUGCCUUCCCCAUGGACAGUCCAGCAAUGUCUGCUUCCACUCCCCCUGUGUUUCCAGACCCAGAGAGUGAAGCAAAGCCAGAAUCAACCACCACACUAGAUAAAUAGCCAUUACUGUGACGAUGGAAUGCUGUCAGCGAGCAGCAUGGAAGACGCAGAGAGAGUGGUGGUCAGGUGGUGGUGGAGACAGGGAGAGUAUGUGGCCUGGAGAUUAACAAACAGAACACCAAUAAUCUUGUGACCUCCAUGCAUCCUUCCUAAUGUCAAUAAAGUUGUCUUAUCAUGCCCAAAA
This 304-nucleotide long non-coding RNA is filed under the name Portunus trituberculatus (swimming crab). RNAcentral's name for it is "uncharacterized LOC123502419". Lineage: Eukaryota; Metazoa; Arthropoda; Malacostraca; Decapoda; Portunidae. The record is from RNAcentral.